Cucurbita moschata (crookneck pumpkin) is the source of this 331-nucleotide long non-coding RNA. RefSeq lists it as uncharacterized. The record is from RefSeq and is a predicted model, not a curated record. Lineage: Eukaryota; Viridiplantae; Streptophyta; Magnoliopsida; Cucurbitales; Cucurbitaceae. The transcript is spliced from 2 exons.
AAACAGAAAACGUAAUCAGUAUAGCAAAAGUUAACAGGGAAGUGUUUGCAACUGAAAGGCACUUCCUUUGGCAACCCUGGUUGGUUGAGGGGAUAGAUCGCUGUCAUGACCAAUAAGAAUUUAAAAAAUUUUAAAAGAGUCUAUGUCAAUUACCACCGAGCUAUGUUCAAACUUCUUACAAUAGGAAGAUUUCUCGUGUAUUCAAUGAAGCUUUCGAAUCAUUAGAUUAUUGUCUAAGAAGUUGAAGAAACAUCGAAAGGUGAGGAACACAAUUAAUAGCUUGGAUGGCUGUGAGUGCAUAGCUCUAGUUAUCACCGACAAGAAUUUGAAA